RNAcentral lists this ribosomal RNA (552 nucleotides) under Prionace glauca (blue shark). Its description in RNAcentral is "partial 16S ribosomal RNA". It matches the Rfam family "Bacterial large subunit ribosomal RNA", at positions 1853 to 2597 of the family's 2925-position model. The record is from RNAcentral. Lineage: Eukaryota; Metazoa; Chordata; Chondrichthyes; Carcharhiniformes; Carcharhinidae.
UCCCGCCUGCCCUGUGACAACGUUCAACGGCCGCGGUAUUUUGACCGUGCAAAGGUAGCGUAAUCACUUGUCUUUUAAAUGAAGACCUGUAUGAAAGGCAUCACGAGAGUUUAACUGUCUCUAUUUUCUAAUCAAUGAAAUUGAUCUAUUCGUGCAGAAGCGAAUAUAAUAACAUUAGACGAGAAGACCCUAUGGAGCUUCAAACACUUAAAUUAAUUAUGUAACCAUCCAUUUCCCAGGAAAUAAACAAAAUAUACAACACUUCUAAUUUAACUGUUUUUGGUUGGGGUGACCAAGGGGAAAAACAAAUCCCCCUCAUCGAUUGAGUACUAAGUACUUAAAAAUUAGAAUGACAAUUCUAAUUAAUAAAACAUUUACCGAAAAAUGAUCCAGGAUUUCCUGAUCAAUGAACCAAGUUACCCUAGGGAUAACAGCGCAAUCCUUUCUCAGAGUCCCUAUCGAAGAGAGGGUUUACGACCUCGAUGUUGGAUCAGGACAUCCUAAUGGUGCAACCGCUAUUAAGGGUUCGUUUGUUCAACGAUUAAUAGUCCU